Molecule: ribosomal RNA, 388 nt
Filed under: uncultured bacterium
Lineage: Bacteria
Description: bacterial SSU rRNA
Rfam family: Bacterial small subunit ribosomal RNA
Source: RNAcentral
GACGAACGCUGGCGGCGUGCUUAACACAUGCAGGUCGAGCGGUAAGGCCCUUUCGGGGUACGACGAGCGGCGAACGGGUGAGUAACACGUGGGUGACCUGCCCUCAGCUCUGGGAUAAGCCUGGGAAACCGGGUCUAAUACCGGAUAUGACUCCAUGACGCAUGUUGUGGGGUGGAAAGCCUUGUGCGGCUGAGGAUGGGCCCGCGGCCUAUCAGCUUGUUGGUGGGGUGAUGGCCUACCAAGGCGACGACGGGUAGCCGGCCUGAGAGGGCGACCGGCCACACUGGGACUGAGACACGGCCCAGACUCCUACGGGAGGCAGCAGUGGGGAAUCUUGCGCAAUGGGCGAAAGCCUGACGCAGCGACGCCGCGUGAGGGAUGACGGCCU